AGCGGAGACUCGACAUUCGGCGGGACAGUGAUGUGAAUGAAGCGCUCAGCCACUUUGAUGCCAGUGUGUCUUCAGGUCUUGAGUGUCCUGCACAUACCCCUCCCUACUCUCUGUCACAUCAUGAAGAUGUUUGGUGAGUAUUCAUAUGAUUAUUCACUGACAAUAAAAAACAAAACCUAUCGAGCAGAGAGGUCCUUCUUUGUGACAUUGCGACUCCUGAUUGGAUAAAGUGUGGGACCUAAAGUCAUUUUCAGACAUGAACACCAGCAUCUUGUCAGUAGGUGAGAGCUACUUCUACUAUGUACUUCUACUACACCAAUUUAAUACAAGUGGUAUUAAAUUGUUGGGAAAACCAAAGUGCCAUUGUUGCCCAAGGUUCAUUUGUGUUACUUGAUGAAACAACAGCUAUGUGUACAGUACAUACCUUCAGAUCCCGACAUAUGUCCUGUGAAAUGAACAAAUAAAAAACCUAGUAAAUUUAGACUGAUGUGAUACAGCAAAAUAAAACAACAACUUUAUUGUUGUAGUACACAUACAGGUUCUCACCUUUCUCUAACUUGGUAUAAAUGGGGUUUGAAGUGAUGGUGGCCGAGUCGCUCACUGUAGUAUCCUGGUUGUCGUCGACGCUGCGGUGCCUCCUAGAGCUAGUGCAGUUCUGCUAAUAAACAGCGAUUGUCAUUUUAGUUGCAAGACAGAUUUUUAAAUACAAAUGAAUCGCAGUUCCCGGUUUCCCAAGUAGAGCAUUGUGUGAAUAUACACAACCCGUGAGAGCAUGGCUCACAAGAUGGAGGCAAUGUCUAGAAACGUUGUUGAUUCAAUCCUCAGCUUCUCCUUAGUUUUUAUGUGUGUGUGUAAAAGUUGGUGACACUUCAACAAAUGGAGAACUCCCUCCAGUCCUUUCCCAAGCACAUCAGGGAACUACAGUGACCUUUGCAUACCAGAAAGGAUAUAGACACUCUUUCAAAACUCUCUACUUCUGCUCCACUAUCAUAGUCUUGAGAUUCGCCUGCAACCAGGCACCGGAUCACAGUGUGGCCACUGCUUUAUUGCUUUAUUGUCUAUUUACCUCACAUUGUUCACAGAAUUGACAUCAUGUGCUAUUGAAGAAGACCUGAAACUAGCGAAAGAAACCAUUAACUCCUCAGGAAAAUGUUUACUGAGUCAUAAAUCAAGUGUUGUUUUUGCAACCAGCAGAAUGGUCAUAUUAAGUAGGGUGCUCUUGUGAUUUGUGCUUUUUCUGACCUGGACGAGGGCAGGGCAGAUGGAGUUCACACAGAGUCUGGUGGCACAGUGGACGUAGUAGGUGGAGAUGAUAUCAUCUGAGCUUUGAAUGAAGCGGAAAGCCUCAAAGGAGAAGCGGGCCUCCUGCUGGUCUCCGUUAGUCAUGACAAUUGUCUGGACGUCCCGGUGACACCUUGAAGAGGAGGAGAGAUGAUGAAAAGAUCGUGGAAGCUGGUGUCGAUGAUAAAAGACAUAACCUGCUAAAACACUACCUGUUGCUGAGGUUCGAGGCCCUCACUUCUACAAAGAUCCUGGUCUUCAGCUCUAGACCUUCUUGAGGCAUCAGCAGUGAGGAGGAGUAGCUGUUGUCCUUUACACCCAACAAGACAAAAGAGGGAAGGAUGGUUGUUUAGACUAAUGAUAUGUUCUUCAACACUAAACCAUUCAAAUAAAUAGAAAUGUUUUGGCUUCACUCUCCCUCCAGACCCAGCGGAGACAAUGUCCAAUG
Solea solea (common sole) is the source of this 1729-nucleotide long non-coding RNA. RefSeq lists it as uncharacterized. The record is from RefSeq and is a predicted model, not a curated record. Lineage: Eukaryota; Metazoa; Chordata; Actinopteri; Pleuronectiformes; Soleidae. The transcript has 4 exons.